This 676-nucleotide long non-coding RNA is filed under the name Linum usitatissimum (flax). RNAcentral describes it as "long non-coding RNA (LUSI_LNC005150)". The record is from RNAcentral. Lineage: Eukaryota; Viridiplantae; Streptophyta; Magnoliopsida; Malpighiales; Linaceae.
AAGAAGCCACUCACUUAGGUUCACUGAAUUGAACUUAAAUAGGAAAAAAUUCUCUGCUAAGUGAGAGACAAACACAAAAAUCUCACAACCCCAAUGCCUAUUUUAGUCAUAAAUGAGAGCACACGGAUCGGCAGGAUAGAGCCAAGGAACUGACCUACCAAAGCCGAUUUCUAUCGGUGCUUACCCAAAUCAGUGACCGACUGCAAAAUCUUCAAAACAUCAUUCACCACAGCAACCCUCGAUUAUGGUAUGAACCUGAGAUCAGAUGAAGAGUCAGAGACCAAAGCGGCCCAUGACUUGGCGGAGGACGGGGGAGGAGAAGAUGCAGUGUCUACUAACAUAACAAUCCAAGCAAAAAUUAGGCAGAGAGGAGUAAGAAAAGAGGAAUUAAAGCAAGAGUCUGAAUGAUGCCAGAGAUUCGAAGAUCCACUGGUGAUCAAUCAAUACCAGUAAGGCCAUAGAGGAGCACACCCACAAAGAGAGCCCUUCCGGCACCGACGAUUAGGUGACGAAGAAAUCAGCUCAAGUUGAGAGAGAUCAACGAGCUGUACACGCGCUCUCGUUGUACGCUCAAAUUAUAAUGAAUAAAUUUUAGAAAGACUUAAAGAUUACAAAUUCUUAUAAUUAAUUAUAAGUCCUAUUUAUAAUAAAAUUUCCUAAUUAUGCUAGAAUAAUG